UGGGGAAUUUUGGACAAUGGGCGCAAGCCUGAUCCAGCCAUGCCGCGUGCGGGAAGAAGGCCUUCGGGUUGUAAACCGCUUUUGUCAGGGAAGAAAUCUUCUGAGUUAAUACCUCGGGAGGAUGACGGUACCUGAAGAAUAAGCACCGGCUAACUACGUGCCAGCAGCCGCGGUAAUACGUAGGGUGCAAGCGUUAAUCGGAACUACUGGGCGUAAAGCGUGCGCAGGCGGUUUUGUAAGACAGAGGUGAAAUCCCCGGGUCUCAACCUGGGAACUGCCUUUGUGACUGCAAGGCUUGAGUGCGGCAGAGGGGGAUGGAAUUCCGCGUGUAGCAGUGAAAUGCGUAGAUAUGCGGAGGAACACCGAUGGCGAAGGCAAUCCCCUGGGCCUGCACUGACGCUCAUGCACGAAAGCGUGGGGAGCAAACAGGAUUAGAUA
RNAcentral lists this ribosomal RNA (438 nucleotides) under uncultured bacterium. Its description in RNAcentral is "partial 16S ribosomal RNA". It matches the Rfam family "Bacterial small subunit ribosomal RNA", at positions 355 to 784 of the family's 1533-position model. The record is from RNAcentral.